This 211-nucleotide ribosomal RNA is filed under the name Streptomyces sp. SID14515. RNAcentral describes it as "partial 16S ribosomal RNA". It matches the Rfam family "Bacterial small subunit ribosomal RNA", at positions 1 to 210 of the family's 1533-position model. The record is from RNAcentral. Lineage: Bacteria; Bacillati; Actinomycetota; Actinomycetes; Kitasatosporales; Streptomycetaceae.
CAUUCACGGAGAGUUUGAUCCUGGCUCAGGACGAACGCUGGCGGCGUGCUUAACACAUGCAAGUCGAACGAUGAAACCGCUUCGGUGGUGGAUUAGUGGCGAACGGGUGAGUAACACGUGGGCAAUCUGCCCUUCACUCUGGGACAAGCCCUGGAAACGGGGUCUAAUACCGGAUAACACUCUGUCCCGCAUGGGACGGGGUUAAAAGCUC